RNAcentral lists this ribosomal RNA (1099 nucleotides) under marine bacterium HB-14. RNAcentral's name for it is "bacterial SSU rRNA". It matches the Rfam family "Bacterial small subunit ribosomal RNA", at positions 364 to 1475 of the family's 1533-position model. The record is from RNAcentral.
UUGCUGGGCGAGCCUGAUGCAGCGACGCCGCGUGAGGGAUGACGGCCUUCGGGUUGUAAACCCCCUUCAGCACGGAAGAAGCGAAAGUGACGGUACGUGCAGAAGAAGCGCCGGCUAACUACGUGCCAGCAGCCGCGGUAAUACGUAGGGCGCAAGCGUUGUCCGGAAUUAUUGGGCGUAAAGAGCUCGUAGGCGGUUUGUCGCGUCUGCUGUGAAAGCCCGGGGCUUAACCCCGUGGUGUGCAGUGGGUACGGGCAGACUAGAGUGCAGUAGGGGAGACUGGAAUUCCUGGUGUAGCGGUGAAAUGCGCAGAUAUCAGGAGGAACACCGAUGGCGAAGGCAGGUCUCUGGGCUGUUACUGACGCUGAGGAGCGAAAGCAUGGGGAGCGAACAGGAUUAGAUACCCUGGUAGUCCAUGCCGUAAACGUUGGGCACUAGGUGUGGGGGACAUUCCACGUUUUCCGCGCCGUAGCUAACGCAUUAAGUGCCCCGCCUGGGGAGUACGGCCGCAAGGCUAAAACUCAAAGGAAUUGACGGGGGCCCGCACAAGCGGCGGAGCAUGCGGAUUAAUUCGAUGCAACGCGAAGAACCUUACCAAGGCUUGACAUACACCAGACCGGUCCAGAGAUGGUCCUUCCCCUUUGGGGUUGGUGUACAGGUGGUGCAUGGUUGUCGUCAGCUCGUGUCGUGAGAUGUUGGGUUAAGUCCCGCAACGAGCGCAACCCUCGUUCUAUGUUGCCAGCACGUGAUGGUGGGGACUCAUAGGAGACUGCCGGGGUCAACUCGGAGGAAGGUGGGGAUGACGUCAAAUCAUCAUGCCCCUUAUGUCUUGGGCUUCACGCAUGCUACAAUGGCCGGUACAAUGGGUUGCGAUACCGUGAGGUGGAGCUAAUCCCAAAAAGCUGGUCUCAGUUCGGAUCGUGGUCUGCAACUCGACCACGUGAAGUCGGAGUCGCUAGUAAUCGCAGAUCAGCAACGCUGCGGUGAAUACGUUCCCGGGCCUUGUACACACCGCCCGUCAAGUCACGAAAGUUGGUAACACCCGAAGCCGGUGCCUAACCCUUGUGGGGGGGAGCCGUCAAAGGUGGGACUGGGCGAU